Long non-coding RNA from Antechinus flavipes (yellow-footed antechinus), 560 nucleotides. RefSeq lists it as uncharacterized. The transcript has 3 exons. Lineage: Eukaryota; Metazoa; Chordata; Mammalia; Dasyuromorphia; Dasyuridae. The record is from RefSeq and is a predicted model, not a curated record.
UUAGCAGUCCCCAGAGAAUUAAGGUUUUAGGUGUUUACAGUUUAGCCACCUAAGAAUUGAAAGCCUGUUAGCAGAAAGGGGAAAUAAGGAGAAUUUUUCAUGUGAAAAUGACCAAGGACAUAGAAUUUCCUUAAGAAAUGGUUCCAAACUGUCUCCCUCCCUUCCUAGCCAGAGAUCAUAUAAUUUUGAUACUGAAGAACCCAGAACAUCUUUAAGGAAUGAAGUGUCUGGUUCAUAGUAAGUGCUUAAUAAAAUUCUUACUAACCUGAAAAGACUUACAUGAACUGAUGCUAAGUGAAGUGAGCAGUACCAAGAGAACAUUGUACACAGCAACAAGAUUAUGUGAUGGUCGACUGUGAUGGACCUAGUUCUAAGCAAUGCAGUGAUCCAAGACAAUUCCAAUUGACUCGAGAUGGAAAAUGCCAUUCACAUCCAGAGAUAGAACUACGGAGAAUGAAUGUGAAACAGAGCAUAGUAUUUUCAUCUUUUUGUUUAUUUGAUUUUUCCUUCUCAUUUUUUUUUUUUACCUUUUAGUCUGAUUUUUCUUGUACAAUAUGACA